GGAGGAAAAGAAACCAACAGGGAUUGCCUCAGUAGCGGCGAGUGAAGCGGCAAAAGCUCAAAUUUGAAAUCUGGCGUCUUUGGCGUCCGAGUUGUAAUUUGAAGAAGGUAUCUUUGGGCCCGGCUCUUGUCUAUGUUCCUUGGAACAGGACGUCACAGAGGGUGAGAAUCCCGUGCGAUGAGAUGACCCGGGUCUGUGUAAAGUUCCUUCGACGAGUCGAGUUGUUUGGGAAUGCAGCUCUAAGUGGGUGGUAAAUUCCAUCUAAAGCUAAAUAUUGGCGAGAGACCGAUAGCGAACAAGUACAGUGAUGGAAAGAUGAAAAGAACUUUGAAAAGAGAGUGAAAAAGUACGUGAAAUUGUUGAAAGGGAAGGGCUUGAGAUCAGACUUGGUAUUUUGCAUGCUGCUCUCUCGGGGGCGGCCGCUGCGGUUUACCGGGCCAGCAUCGGUUUGGAGCGGCAGGAUAAUGGCGGAGGAAUGUGGCACGGCUUCUGCUGUGUGUUAUAGCCUCUGACGAUACUGCCAGCCUAGACCGAGGACUGCGGUUUUUACCUAGGA
Molecule: ribosomal RNA, 556 nt
Filed under: Candida albicans
Lineage: Eukaryota; Fungi; Ascomycota; Pichiomycetes; Serinales; Debaryomycetaceae
Description: partial large subunit ribosomal RNA
Rfam family: Eukaryotic large subunit ribosomal RNA
Source: RNAcentral